RNAcentral lists this ribosomal RNA (492 nucleotides) under uncultured bacterium. RNAcentral describes it as "partial 16S ribosomal RNA". It matches the Rfam family "Bacterial small subunit ribosomal RNA", at positions 29 to 507 of the family's 1533-position model. The record is from RNAcentral.
AGUGAACGCUGGCGGCAGGCCUAACACAUGCAAGUCGAACGGCCGCACAGUAAGAGCUUGCUCUCACGGGUGGCGAGCGGCGGACGGGUGAUGUAUACAUCGGAUACUACUUUUUCGCGGGGGAUAACGCAGGGAAUGUUACGCUAAUACAGGAUAUGUCGUACGGGUGGAAGCAGGCGUCCUUCGAACCUUGCGGGUUAGAUAGUGCCGAAGUCGGAGUAGCUAGAUGGGGGGGUAAAGGCUCACCAAGACGGAGAUGCGAAGGGGGUCUGAGAGCAUGGUCAGCCAGACUGGAAGUGAGACAGGGUCCCGACACCUACGGGAGGAAACAGUGGGGAAUAUUGCGCGAUGGAGGAAAGCCUGAUCCAGCCAAACCGGGUAAGUGAUGAAGGCCUUCGGGUGGGUGAACCAUGUUGUUGGGAAAGAAGUAAAGUUCUUUAAUACCCGGCGGUUAUGACGGUACCCAAAGAAGAAGCACCGGCUAACUUCGUG